AUUGAACGCUGGCGGCAGGCUUAACACAUGCAAGUCGAGCGGGGUGAUGGUGCUUGCACUAUCACUUAGCGGCGGACGGGUGAGUAAUGCUUAGGAAUCUGCCUAUUAGUGGGGGACAACAUCUCGAAAGGGAUGCUAAUACCGCAUACGUCCUACGGGAGAAAGCAGGGGAUCACUUGUGACCUUGCGCUAAUAGAUGAGCCUAAGUAGGAUUGGCUAGUUGGUGGGGUAAAGGCCUACCAAGGCGACGAUCUGUAGCGGGUCUGAGAGGAUGAUCCGCCACACUGGGACUGAGACACGGCCCAGACUCCUACGGGAGGCAGCAGUGGGGAAUAUUGGACAAUGGGGGGAACCCUGAUCCAGCCAUGCCGCGUGUGUGAAGAAGGCCUUAUGGUUGUAAAGCACUUUAAGCGAGGAGGAGGCUCUUUUGGUUAAUACCCAAGAUGAGUGGACGUUACUCGCAGAAUAAGCACCGGCUAACUCUGUGCCAGCCGCCGCGGUAA
This 503-nucleotide ribosomal RNA is filed under the name uncultured bacterium. Its description in RNAcentral is "partial 16S ribosomal RNA". It matches the Rfam family "Bacterial small subunit ribosomal RNA", at positions 30 to 523 of the family's 1533-position model. The record is from RNAcentral.